This is a non-coding RNA of Chiloscyllium plagiosum (whitespotted bambooshark), 2567 nucleotides long. The record is from RefSeq and is a predicted model, not a curated record. NCBI's taxonomy places the organism in Eukaryota, Metazoa, Chordata, Chondrichthyes, Orectolobiformes, Hemiscylliidae.
UGCUCUCAGUCUCUUCUUGAUGCAGUCAUAGGACUUCCUUUUCUGAAUCACUGCUGCUGAAAUGUCUUGGAAAAACAUGAUUCUGGAGCCCUCGCACACCAACGCCAUUGGAUUCUUCUCUUGGGUUCUGGAAGAUUUCUGUUUGUCUUUAUAAUGAUGGAACUAUACCAAGACAGGGCGAGGGCAUUAGUCCAUUCCUGGUCUUCAUGCCGCGGCGUGGUGGGCUCUUAUAAUCUUCAUCCUUCCCUUUUCAGCCUCCAAACUAAGGAAUUCUGGGAGCCACUUCUCAAAACUUUCCACUGGCCUCUCACCUUUUGUCCCCUCCGGCAUUCCAGCAACACAAAGGUUCUCUCUUCUGCCCCUGUUCUCAAGGUCAUCCACCAAAUCCAGCAAACCAUCGACCUGCGUUUCCAGAGAUUCAAUCUGACUCUUGGAUGAAUCAGCCUCUGCUUUCACCCCUGGCCCGGUACUUGAGCUUGUCAGUCCUUUCCCCAGGUCUUGCAGCAUAGCACAAACCGGGGCUAAUUUUUCCUUGAUUUUUUUUUCCUUCAGUCUCCUUCCCAAGGACCUCACGAGAUUUGGCAAGCUUCUCAACCAAGGCCUGGUGUGUAAGCAAGCCUGCCGCCUUAAUGGAUUGAACCCCGGCCCUGGGCUAACUUCCUCCUUUUUUUGGCAUUCUCUUGCAGCAAAAACAAAGAUUUCCAGUAUCCACACUAAAGAACAAAGAAUAGUACAGCACAGCAACAAGCCCUUCAGCUUUCCAAGACUGCAUUGACAUGUGAUGCCUUUCUCAACUACAAAAUUUUUGGCUUUCUGCUUUGGAACAGAGUUGUCGGUGUUCCCUUAAAAAGUUUUAAGUUUUCAUAACCAGUCGUGGAAACGUAUCUGCUGAAAAUUACUCAUCAUUUUUCAACUGCAUGUAGGUUCAGAUGCUUUUGCAACUACUGUAUUUGUAAGGUAAGAACAUAUAUCUCUGCAAUUAACCUUAGGUAGUACAGCAUUUGAUACUACUACUUUUUAAUUACUCGUAAUAUGGAGAGACACACAAAUAUUAAGAAUUGGAUUCUGUUCACACUUUCUAAUCAUCUAUAUUAAAAACAGUAAUGUGUAAGUUUUGAGUUAGAGAUGUUACCUUUUUAAUUAGGGUCCUCUCCAUAACAUUGCAAAAAUACUUUCAGACAUAGUCCAAACAGCAUGUCCAAUGUGUCAUAGUCACAAAUGAAAUCCAGUGUGACUGUGACAAAGGGAAACUUUCCCUCGCUUUUCUUGGCCUGGCUGAAGUUUUUGACAGGGCUAAUCACACCAUCCCCCUCAAAUGCCACUGGCAUCCAGGUGGGUGGGACAGCACUCACUGGUGUCUUUUCAUAUACCUGUUUGUAGCUGGGGCAUGAUCUUCCUACUCCUGCACCACUAAAUUCAAUGACUCUCAAGAAUCUGUCUCCUCUUUCUGAUCUGCAUGAUGCCAUUUGGUAACAGAAACUUCCACAUAUGUGCUGGUCACCCCCAGCUUGACUUCUCCACUGUCUGUCUCAAUGCUUCUCUUGUCCCUAAAGUGUCAGUAUGAUUGUCAGUUUUCCCCAAGUAAAUAUCAGGAAGGUGGAAGUUAUUGUUUUCUGUCCCCUCCUCCAAGAAAUUAUAUUCCCUUGCCAUUGACUCCAUUCAUCCACCCCCCAAAAAAUCAGUUUCCUUGUUUUUGAGUCCAUUCCUCUCCCAUAUAACUGUCUGAGGCUUGAAUCAGACUGUGCACAAUCUUGAUGACAUAUUUGACUGAGAUAAAGCUACCUGCUUUAUCAUCACUAAAUGAUUGUUUUCACUUUGGGGACAUCACCUAACUCCACCAUUCCCUCAGCUUAUCCAGUGAAACACACUUUCAUGCAUGCCUUUGUUACCGUUCGACUUGACUAUUUAAAUCUCCUGACUGUCUUCCACUGUCCUUAAACCCGAGGUUGUCUAAAACUCCUGUUUGUUCUGAAUUGCAGCCAAUCUGAUUCAUCUGUCACUCUGGACAUGUUGAUCAGUCCCAAAUAAACAAUGCCUUGAUUUUAAAAUUUUGUUUCAAAUCACUUAAUGGCACUGCCCCUCCCUACUGGUCUAACCUCCUCCAGCCUUAUCUCAAACCACAGUUUGAGUCAUUUCUCCAUUGAAAGCCUUGCCACUUCCUCUGUAAACCUCCCUGCUUUUCCUUCCUUAAGGCAAUCCUUCAAACUUACUCUUUGAUCAAACUUCUGGUGAACAGUUCUUAGUAUCUUUGGUGUCAGAUUUUGUUUGGUAAUGCUCCUGAGAAGUGUCUCGGGGCAUUUUACUACCUUAAGGACAUUCAAUAAUGACAUUAUUGUGUCAUAACGGACAGCUCCAACGUUUGUUGCAUCUCAGUUGCAAGAUGCCUGUUUGAACGUGGGUUUUACGGGUGCUGUGUUAUCACACGGAGUGAACCGUGUAGCAUUUGGAUUUCAUUUUUCUACCAGCAUAUCACAUGCCCCGGUAACAAAGUAAAUAAAUGAUAAUAUAUCAGUGUUUUAUCUUAACAAUUUUGGGGCAGGUCGAUUAGAUCUGUGUAUCAUGCUGGA